GACGGAAGGUGCAAGCGUUGCUCGGAAUCACUGGGCGUAAAGGGUGCGUAGGUGGCGCUGUAAGUCGGGUGUGAAAUUUCGGAGCUUAACUCCGAAACUGCAUUCGAUACUGCGGUGCUUGAGGACUGGAGAGGAGACUGGAAUUCAUGGUGUAGCAGUGAAAUGCGUAGAGAUCAUGAGGAAGACCAGUGGCGAAGGCGGGUCUCUGGACAGUUCCUGACACUGAGGCACGAAGGCCAGGGGAGCAAACGGG
RNAcentral lists this ribosomal RNA (253 nucleotides) under uncultured bacterium. RNAcentral describes it as "partial 16S ribosomal RNA". It matches the Rfam family "Bacterial small subunit ribosomal RNA", at positions 524 to 776 of the family's 1533-position model. The record is from RNAcentral.